RNAcentral lists this ribosomal RNA (206 nucleotides) under Staphylococcus sp. CH99b_3. RNAcentral's name for it is "partial 16S ribosomal RNA". It matches the Rfam family "Bacterial small subunit ribosomal RNA", at positions 1337 to 1533 of the family's 1533-position model. The record is from RNAcentral. Lineage: Bacteria; Bacillati; Bacillota; Bacilli; Caryophanales; Staphylococcaceae.
AGUAAUCGUAGAUCAGCAUGCUACGGUGAAUACGUUCCCGGGUCUUGUACACACCGCCCGUCACACCACGAGAGUUUGUAACACCCGAAGCCGGUGGAGUAACCAUUUAUGGAGCUAGCCGUCGAAGGUGGGACAAAUGAUUGGGGUGAAGUCGUAACAAGGUAGCCGUAUCGGAAGGUGCGGCUGGAUCACCUCCUUUCUAAGGA